This is a long non-coding RNA of Melospiza melodia melodia, 13333 nucleotides long. RefSeq lists it as uncharacterized. The transcript is spliced from 7 exons. Lineage: Eukaryota; Metazoa; Chordata; Aves; Passeriformes; Passerellidae. The record is from RefSeq and is a predicted model, not a curated record.
GAAAGAAAGAAAGAAAGAAAGAAAGAGAAAAAAUAGAGACAACUUUCUGUGCUACCCACCUGAGCACUGUCUUCAGCUCUGACAGGAGACUUCAGAGCAAGACCUCUACAGACUAAAGGGUUCAUAAAGGAGUUCACUGAUACCUUGUUGACAAUGGUGAUGAAAUACCCUGACUUGUCAUCCUGGGAGAUUUCAACACACACAUCGACAAGGCUGCAGAUAUGAAGUCCCACAAACUCACCUUCUGGCUUUCCUCCCAAACACUCUCCGGGUGUUUCUACAUCGACAUUUACAGUCAGCCUCAAGGGGUCCCUGUUACAGGCUCUGAGUGGCAUGUGUCACCCUGACAGGAAAUUUCAGUGAGCUGCAUGCAGGGGUUACUGAAGUUCUCUACUUGUGGGCAGUACCAAGAGGUCAGAACCCAGGAUCACAGGGUGUGGUUGUGCUGAAUUCCUCUGCCCAAUGCCUGCAAACAUGCUGAGGAGACGGUGAUAGGAAGAGGGAGAGGAUGAAAGAUGGAGAUGAGCUCCAGCAGGUUUCAUGGUUUUAGCUGUAUUUGGGGGCCACAGUGUAGGUGUUUAUUUGGUAUAAGCAUAAUGAUGAACUUAGGGUUACUUCUCGCCAUCAGCGCCGAUCAUCUCAUUUUAUCCAUGUGCUCUUUGAUUUGAUCUAUACUGAACAAGAAGAGUGUGGACCAGCUGCAAGGGAUGUCUUGGGCCUGGGAUAAGCAAGAUAUUUGGUCCCCACAAGUGGGCCAGAGCAGACAAAAUCAGGCAGGGUUAGCAGAGGAGGUACCAAGCUGGGUGCAGGGGAUGGUAGGAUGAAGGGUUCUAAAGGCAUGUGAAUACUGGUGGGACUCAGGGGACUUCUAGCUCUGAUUUAGCUUUUAUCAGAUUUCCUCCAAGCAUGCCCGUGGAAGAGCAUCACUGCACAGUUGGGCCAAGAUGCUGAGGAUUAGGGAAGUUUCUCCUGCCCUGCAUGAGUCACUUAAGGUUCUUAUCUAGAAGCACCUCAUUCCCUUCACCCUCACAGAGUGCCUCAGAACUGCUGUCCCGCUGGAUUGGAGAGGAGAAAUAAGGAAGCCAUGGCAGGAACCAGGAUAGCAAAGAUGAAAAAACAUCUGUCUUCAUGUAUCUAGUUCUGUCCUUGGUGACAUUGCUUGAGAGGCCAAGGAGACUUCCUGAGCGGCAACAGCAAAGCAGCAAACACCUCUGUAUCCUCUGACAGGGAUACCUCCAGCCAAAGUGGCCAUAGCCAGCAAUUAUGCUGCUAAGAACGAUGCACAAAAGCCCAACGAUUCACUAAAGCCCAAACUGCUGUCAAACCAAGAGUGGGUGGCAUUCUGGGACAUACAUUUGGAUCCCUAAAGCAGAGGGAGGCAACCUGAAGAGAGUGGCUGGGAUGUAACACACAGCUGGACGCUGCAAGCUGACCACAUUUGGAGAUGGAAGGAUGGCUUUGAGGAUGUUUAUCUACCUUCUCCAAGAGGAAAGGCAGCCUUUCAUCUCUGCCCAUUUUGUCAACAUCCUCCAGAAAACAGGAGUCAACUGACAGAGUGACGCUGUCGGAGCACACAGGGACCUAGACAAAUUGAGGCUUUCUGUUGGAGCCCUGGUUCCCAGUUUAGGGAGAUGCUGCUGUCUGGGCUGUUUCUGUGGAUAGGGAGCUGGUCACUGGAUCUCUCAGCAAGGACCCAUUCUUGAGAGUACCAAGGGUGGCUGAGUGUCUCCUCUGGCUUCUGACUUAUUUCCUCCACUGAAAAUCAUGAAACAUCACUGCUAUUCACAAGAGUCUGCCUUCAUGUCUUGGGUUUCCAGAAUUUGAAGCCACAUUGACGUAGCUGUACAAGUGACAAAAGUGCUGUGUGCUGAGAAGAGAAGAGAAGAGAAGAGAAGAGAAGAGAAGAGAAGAGAAGAGAAGAGAAGAGAAGAGAAGAGAAGAGAAGAGAAGAGAAGAGAAGAGAAGAGAAGAGAUCAGAGAAGACCUUAUCAGUGUGUAUAAAUACUUGAAGGGUAAAGAGGACACAUCCAGGCUCUUUCUAGUGGUGCCUGGAGGCAGCACCAGAGGCUAUAGGCCCAAACUAAAACACAGAAGGUUCUCUCUCUUUCUGAAUAUCAGAAAACAGGUUUGCUUACUCUAAGUGUGACCAAUCACUGGCACAGGUUGUGCAGGGAGGUUGUGGGUUGUCUCUCCUUGGAGGUAGCAAGAAGCUGUCAGGACAUGGUCCUGGCAAGCCUGCUGUAGGUGGCCCCUCUUUACCAGGGGGUCGGACCAGGUGAUCUCCAAAGUUCCUUCCAAUCUCAACCAUUGUAUGAUUCUGUAAUGAGUGGAAGAGAAUUAAGACUGCAACGGAGAAGAGCACAUGUAGCCUCAACAAGAGAUUGUUACAUUGAUUGUGGCUUCAAAUCACAAUGGGACAGGUAAUAAAAUAUGCCACAGGGGGAAGAGUAAGGAAACUUAGCCAAGAAUACUCAGAAACUGAUGUAUUCAGUAAAUGGUUUUUAUUGGUAUUGGUGUGGAAUAAGUGUAAAUUGGGUGAACUUGUGUGUGUCCUGUGAAUUAGGCUUUGAAGUUAAAGAAAAUGAAAGCUUUCACUCUUUUUUUUUUUUUUUGAGAAGAAAUUAUUCACUUCUAUACCCAUAAGGUAAAUAAAAUCCUCAUCCUUAACUUUGAAAGAAUGCAAGAUUAAAAACCUGGGAAACAAUCCGCUAUUAAUUGUGAACAGGCACGCAAUUAGUGACAAUUCGAGAUCAAGGCAAUGAACACCUUUAUAAAGUGCUUCUCUAAAAAACUUAGGUGUUGCUAAUUUUUCAGAAUUCCUUCAUAUGGUUACUUUAAGGUUAUGACAAAAAGGUUAAGAAAUAUGAGCUAGGUCUUAGCAAGCCCUUUGGCUUACCAUACAAUAAGCAGUUACUUUUUGAAAACCUGAAAGCACUUAGAAACUACUGGAAUAAGAAGAGAAGAGCACUAGCAAUCCUCAAAAAAGAGAAUAUUGUUAGUAAUUACAAUUUUUAAAGUACUUUAAUCCAAAAUGCAACAUCUGAUAAGGAAAAUAAUCUUUGAACAUCUAGAAGACAGUAAAAUUAUGAUCAAUAACCUGCACUGUUUUGUCAAGACUAAAUGUUGCCAGACAAACCAUUUUAUAGCCUAGACUAAUUAAUGGAAGAAGAAAAUGAGGUAAAUGUUAUACUGAAGGUCAGAGUCUCGGCUGGAGAAAGGAAACAUAACCAUAUUGACUUCAUCAUACUUAUUAAAGCAAGCUGAAGAACAGCAUUUAUACUUCAGAACUGCAUUUCUCUAAGUCUCAUAAAGUUUCAUCCAAAAAAAUUAAAUCAAAUUUUUAAAAAACAUUUCACAUAACAUGAAAUCUGGGUAAAAGUCCACAAAACAGAGCAAUUUGGAAAGCCUUUAGGUGUUGCAAAGAUUGUUGCUAAUAUAUCUUAAUUACUGGCUUUUUUAAUAAUCCAGGAAAGGUCCAAAUUUUAUUAAUGCGGUCUCGUACAUUCUGUAAGCAUUUUGAAAAAAAAAGAAGAAUGAAAACUGUACACCAAGUUAGGGAGAAAAGCUGGGUAAUAAUACAAAACAAUUUGAUAUUUUAAAGGAAAUAAGUUCAAAAAUACUGAUAUUCAGAAUUAAAAAGAAACAUGACAACAGUAGUCCAUUUUUACUGCCUAAAGAUCUAAUCCCAGUUUUGUUUUGUGUGGGUUUUUCAAUUCUGUCUUCUAUGUAUGUGUUUUCAUGUGACUUAUAUAAGUUCAGUAGAAAGGAUUCCCAUGCUUUUCCCUAUAUCAUUAUCUACUAAAAGAAUUACUUGGUGUUGACAUUACAUAGUUACUGACAUAUUUAUUAAAAUUCGUGACUAGAAGUAUUUUGGUACAUAGAAUAAUAAAGAAUAAUCUUUUACUACAAGAGAAGAGGUAAGAUUUAGAUGUGGACAAUCAAAGGGAAAAUGAAAGAGCAGAGACACAAUCCUGGCCAGCCCGAUAAGCAGUGAUUUUGGUGGAAGUGAUGUGGAUCUGUUUUUUAUUAAUUUCAUCUUGAGUAUAUGCUUCUUCUCUCAGAUCAGUGUUGGUCAGAAUUUACUCCCAAGGUGAGAUUUUUCCAGCAAUGUGCUGCAUGAGCACUCAGUCAUACCUUGGACAUUACUCAGCCCAGGGUCUGGAGCUCUGUAGAGGCAAAUCCAAGUACAGUCAUAUACUGCUGAGAUGAUGCAAUAACACAAACAAAAUCAGUUUACGAAGCUCCUUAGGAUCAGGACAAUUUAGUUAUAUUAGGUUGCUCUUUGUGCAAGCCCACAAAAUCAUACAGGUGGAAAGGGUGCAGACUGUGCCAUCUCUGAUAUUUCAGAGCUCUCUUGGUUUCUCAGGUAGAUGGCAUUAGAUUCCCAAGUGCUCCCAUAAAGCCAAUGAUUUUUGAUAUAAAAAGUGGUUACUUUUCUUGGCAGCACCAAUAGGAACAUCAGAAGAAGGACUUGCUGUCAUUGUGUUGCAGGCAUAGCUAAGCAUAAACAAAGAAGGGGCAGCCUCAUCUGCCUGGAUGUUUGUGAGAAAAUAAUCAGAAAUAUUUUUUACUGGAAACUCCUGUGUCCAGAGCUGCAUAAGGGUUAUGUGCAGUACUACUGUUCACAUGCUACAGUUUGUAGUGAGAAUAUGGGGCAAUUAUGAAAGUGAAAUUUGCUUUCUCUGCAAUGUGUGCAACAUUUAUUUGAAGUGAAUUGUUCCAGGGAACAUAUUUGCCAAGAAACUCUUUCAGGAGAUAAUUUAAGGAAAAUGAGCACCAAAGAAUGGAAAUUAUGGGAUUGAAUUCGCUUAAUUCAAAUGGAAAAUGUCUUCAUGGUUUUUACCCAGCAGGUAAUGCAUAUGCUUAUUGCAUUAUAGAAAUUACAGAGCUAGUUAAAUUAUUUCACUAUUUCUGACAUUCUGAAGAUCUUUCCACUCCUUAUGAUCUGAAAUUGAUACUUUUUCUGCUUAUUUUUACAAUGUAUUUCCAGAGAGUUUUGCCAGAAUUUUUAUGAUAUAAUUUUAGAAAAUUCAUGUUUACUGAUAAUCUAUUUUCUUCCUGAAAGUAGGGAAAAUAAUGAAAGCAGCAAUGUUCAAUUACAUUUAAAAAAUAUUGACAUAUGCAUUUGCCAAAAUUUUAAUAGGAAGUGCUGAUACUGCUUGAAACAUUCCCCUUGUAAAAGUGUAGACCAUUUUUUCAACAACAUAAUGGCACAGGAUUUGCUGAGAGCUGUCAUAAAUCAUAGAAUUGUGGAAAAAUUCAGGCUAGAUCUCUGGCGGUGUUGUAGCCAGCCUUCAGCAGAAAGCAAGGCUAGCUUUGAAGUUAGAUCAGGUUGCUCAGUCUUGUCCAGUUGCAUUUUGAGUACCUCUAGGGAUGGAGAUGUCACGAUUUCUGUGGUCAACUUGUGCCAGUGCUCAACCACCAUCACUGUAAAAAUUUUUCUUUACUUCUGAUCAGGGCCCAAAUUGGGACACAUUAUUCCAGAUGUAUCUUCACAGGUCCUAAGAGAGGAAUAACCAGUUUCCCCAGAACACUGCCUACACUUCUGCUAAUACAGCUCAGUAUGUGCACAGCUCUCAUUCCCAGAGCUGGGAUCAGCAAGAUCCAUAUCCACAAAGGAAUGCUCCGGCUGGUUGACUCCAGUCUUGUGCUGAGCAUGGUGGGCAGAUCCUAUCCAGGUGCAGGACUUUGCAUUCCUCUUUGUAGCAUUUUAUGGAGUUCCUUCUGACCCAUUUCUCCACUUUGUCUGGGUCCUUGGGUGACAUCCAGUGUAUCAGCUACUCCCCCCAGUUUGGUGCCACCAAGAGACUCUCUGAGGGCUCAUUGCAUUCCCCUGUUCAGGUUAUUGAUGAGUUCAACAUCUGUUAAUCCAUGCUGGCUGUUCACAGUUGUUGUCUUUAUUUUCACUUGCACUAAAAUGACCUGCAUAAAGACUUACUCCUUAAUUUUUUCAAGAACUGAGGAAAGAGUGACUAUCUUUUAGCUGCCUGGACCCUCUUUGUCACUUGUUUUAAAAAAUACCUUUUUUGUUUUACUGCAGACCCAAAGAGGCAGUCCUCCCCAAGGACACCUCUUCUCCAUGGAGACAUUUGGGCAGAAGAAUCACAUAUCAUGAAAAUAAUCAAGUCUGUCCUCUCCAACCUAAAAAUAUUCUGCUUCCUUGGGGGAACCGGGACUUCAUGGGGCACAGCUCUUCAGUGUCCCCAGACACACCAGUGCUGUCUAUUAAUCAUGACUUUCUUUUUUCUGACGCAGGCUUCUCUGUCUGUCUGUCUGCAAACGUAUGCUCAGGUGUAGGAACAGGCUGAGCUUUGGAGCUGUUUAUGAGAACCUAAACACGUCUGGCACCUUUGCACAGGACAAAGACCUUGUUCACUGAAGCAGACUGUGUAGAGGAAGGACCAAACAUUCCCACUAGGUCUGCUGAUCCAUGGCCCAAACAUGGCUAUUCCUCAGCACUUCAUGUAAGCUCCAAGUCUAGGCCACAUUUGAAGAAAUAUCCAGUGAGAAAGACAGAAAUUAUGAGGGUGAUGGGCUCCCACCCACUGUCAGAGGGGUAGGGUGAGGUGAAAUGGGCAGUUUCUCAUUCCUCUACAGUCCAGGGGGAUGUGAUGGGCUUGCUGUGUUGUAUGGAGUAGAAGAAAAGGUUGUGGAAUUAGUCAGGCUUUGCUUGUUCCAUGUACUCACUGCGAAAGAAAUGCUAAAAUAACAACUAACGGGUCUCGUAAAAGAAAACAUGUUGUUUGCUUUCUCAGAGACUCUAGGUGACUUUAGGCAAAAUCCGUGGAGAGGGGUUAGCAAUCAGGCUAUAAAAAUGUUACAGCUCUAGCUUUGUUCCGUGCUUUUCUAUGGCUGAACACACUCUCACACCUGAUCUCAGCCAGCUUGAUCCAUAAACUAUUCAGAUAACAAAUAUUGUAUCUUCUCAAAUCAGAAUUGCAGCAACUCCUCUUUUCAUCAAAUAAUCAUUCAGGAAUGAAGGGGACUUUGACAUCAGAGGGGACUUUCUGUGCCACGACAUCCUGUCUGGGCUCUGGGAACUCCUGUUUCCCUGUGAAAACGAAGGUGGAUGAGUGCUUGCUCCAAACACACUGCUGACGGCAGGGCUCAGCCUAGCAGCUCCCAACAGAGCCUGGGUAGAAAGUGGCAUUACCUCAUAUGUCACAGUGAUAUUUUAAAAGGUUGCAUAAUUACUCUGACUACUGCACUCGGACUGGAUGACAAGACUAUGAAAACUGAAAUGUGAUCCAGAAACUGGAUUUUUUUUCUUUCUUUUUCCCCUUGUAGUCUGGGGGUGCACUGCAGCCUGAAUGGUUACAUGAGAAGGAAAGUCAGUGAGGAAGGGGAGAAAUAGGUAAUUCCAGACCCACCCUUUCUGCUGUUGCUCAAGGCUCAAAGGAAGGGCAUACAGCCACCUGAUUUCUAUCAUUCCUGAUUUCCAUGACGGCCCUCACUAAUGGUGCCCAGCACAUUGCAGAGGUGUUUUGGCACAAGACAGCUGUUUCCCAGCUGUGGUGUCAUGGAGGAAAGACCAAGCAUUGCCCAAAAGCACUGUGCACCUGAGGCAGCUCCUACCAGAUGUUUCAUGACAACAGAGGACAGCAACAUUCACCAUGUUAGAAACCCCUCUGCCCUUUUUGAGGUGGUGCCUACUAAUAUUUCCCUGAGAAGGCACUUUUUGGAGUGUAAUGAUGCCUGUCCUGCUGCUGAGGAUUGCGAUCUGUGUUUGGAGGGACACAAGAACCUGGUCCUACCUGACCUCCACAGGCUUGGUACCUGCCUGGGACAUGUAACAGUCUCACUGAGUGAUGGGCCCCAAAUUAAAAUACAAUGAGGUUGUGAAAAGUACAAUCAGUUCAGUGCAAAGCAGAUGUCCUUGACUUCAAAGAGAAUAAGGAAAAAAAGGUUUUUGUUAUUUCAUAAUAGAUAUUUGCAUUCAGCCUUUAGACUGAGAAGUACAUUAUCUGAUCCAGACUAAUCUGCUGGUUUUGGGACCUCAAAGAACCAUGGUUAAGAUGAGCACACAUUGAAGCAUGUGAGGAUCUACUGAGUGGUCUCAGCUUUUGCACAGAGUUUGUAGAACAGAGAUGAAAAAUGAGUUUCAAGAAAGGCAUUUCUCACAGGCACACAGAAAGCCCUUUAAGUGUGGACUGCACUUACACACAGAAAAGAGACCGCAUUAAAAAGGCAUUUAAGCCCCUGAAAGUCUUUUUGAUUUCUGACUUCAAAGGAGCUCCCUCACAGAACUGUACCUGCAGUAGCUGCCUUCUGAUCAUAUGGUCGGGCAUGAGGGAAAUUCAGCUGAUUUCUCCCUCAGCUAUACAAUGAAGCAUGUUAAAAAACAUGAAAUUGGAAUAUUCUGUUGGGGUUUUAAUCUUUUUAUGCCAAACAAAUGGAUUCUUUAUUUUCCACUCUAUCUAUUAGAAAUGCAGACAGUGAUGUAUGAAAUUAAUUUGGAAGUUAGAUGUUAGUAAGGUUAAAUUUUAAUAUUUUUCCAGGGAUGGGGUGAGCAAUUAGGACUCCUUAGUGCCUUAACCAAAGUAAAAAGACAACUACUCCUGAGCUAAUUUGGAAAAAAAGAGUCUGUUUUCCCAGACAUCUAAAUAAAGUGGAAAUGAGUCAAAUGAGGGUAGCAAGGAGGGAUUGGGUAAAUAACCAAGUUAUAAGUUUGUUGCUGAUCUGCAAAGUAAUUGAAAUAAAUAACUAAAAUGCAGAUUGUGUUCUGUUCUUCCAACAUUAGGAUUUUUAAUUUGCCAUAGAGAAAAGGCAUUAAAAAAAAACCCCUAAACUUUGGGAUAAAAAGUCACAGAAAGUUUGUUACUCAGAGUUCUGAGGUAAAAGCCAAGAAAAUUAAAUUAAUAAAGUUGGCAGCAGCUUGUACUUCUCUUUGCCUUGAAAGGAACCCCUGGUUGCUCCUCUGCCCCUGUUGCAAGGAAGUGUCGGAUGUGCUGCUGCAGGCGGCUCUGCCAGCUCCGCUCCUGGCCUCAUCCUCACCCCUGGCUGUGCUCUCCUCCUUGGAGCAUCCUGAGUCCCACCCGUGGGGUACUGGCAGAGAGAAACUGAGAGGGACCAACAACAGGCUGAGUGACCACUGUCCUCCAAAGGGACUGGGGGCUUUAGCUCAAGCCAGUCAUUUCAUCAGAAAGGAUGCUUAACUCGCAGACUCUGCAGCACCAUCCACGAGAAUCCAGGAGAGCAGAAACACAUCAGCACUGACUUGUGGCCAGUGUUUCUUUCUGGAAUGCAAGUGCAGCUCCUUGAGCCAUAGGAAGAAAUCAAACCUACAUCUUCCAUUUUUUGGCUGAGGGUAUUAAUUUUGUGUUAUUGGAUGGAAAGUUAACUACAACUAAUUUUAUUUACACGACCUUUGUUUACAUGACCUCAAUUGUAAGUACCCAGAAAGUUAAAUAUUUCAAAAUGUGAAGGGCUUAUGCUCAGUAAGUGUCUAAACAAACUGUUUCUGAUAGAUUAACUCCUCCUCCCUGCCCUGCCCCCCGCAGUCUUAAUUUGUUUUGGCAAAACCAGUUUGUUGAAUUUGUUCAAACUUCAGAGAAUGAUCAGCCAACCUGAAAUAUGUUUUCUGACUAAUGAUUUACCAAAAGAAAUUUACUGUCCUCUUCCCAGGAGGCAUAUCAUUCAUUUGGAAGUUCAUGGUAAAUUUUCCUUUUUUCCUUUUUCUCCUUUACAGUAGAUUUGAGCUUCCUCAGGAGACAGGUGGCUCCCUUUUGCCUUGCCUGUGAUUUGGCCUUUCAAAGAGGGAGAUUGCUAGCCUCCUGCUUUGCAUGGGAUCAGUAGACCAUGCUUUUUGCUCUGCCUCAUGCAGAGAAGGGGGCUGCUGUCAGCACUGGGGGACUGUGAGGGCAGUCAAAGGGAGCCUGAAACCACGAGGGCUGCAAAAUCAGUGUCCAGUUAGUGUCUUGCCUGACUUUGCAUGCUGUGUUUGGGCAGAUCUGAAAGCAGGCAAAGGGGAUUUGAUUACCUCUGAUUUGCACCAUCCUCGAGCACAUUAGGCAGCUGACAGAACCAAUUUGGAUCCAUGACUCCUUGCUGCAGAAGUUUUAGGGAAUGGGCUGAGAAAAUAUAAAGCCCUUCCAAGACUUGGUUCUUCGUGGUACUCCUCUAAACCUGCCUAACAGUUUGUUUAAAUUAACCCCCUCUGGGCACCACCACAAACUUUCAGUGUUGUCACAGUGCUGAUGUAGCUGCAGGAGGGUAUUUUUCCAGGGGAGUUUGCAAUGAAGAAGAAUUCAAGACAGAGCAAUGGUGAAAAGUUUCCUGGGUCUCUCCCCUCACAGCUGAAGUGGAGCCCAGCCCAGGCAAGGGGCUAGCAGAGGGAGGGCAAUCUAAGCAUAACAUGGAGCACUGUGGGGUGCUGGGGAGAACACCAUCUCCUGAUGUGGUAGCUUUCCCAUGUACCAUGUAACACGAGGGCAGGGAUCUUGCCAGUCCCAUGCUGAGCACCAUAUGUGAGCUGGGUUACAUUCAUUCAGCUGCUGAUUGCAGAAAGCCUCCCGGGAAAGUGGGUGGUUAUCUUUAAAAUGAUCUUCAUCCAGCAGAGCAAGGCUUUGGUUCAGUUUUGCUAGUGUGGAGCACUCCCAUAAUUUUGAAUCAUAUCAGGAUUUGAUUGUGAGUUUAAAUAUAUGUUGUGAAUAUUCAAGUUCUGUGCAAACAAAGACCAGACAGAGGCCAAGACAAGCUGACGCAUGAGCAGCCAUGUUGUUCCCUCUCUGGGCCAAGAACUGGAUUCCUUCACAAAACUGUCUGUGUUGCAGUGAUAAAAAGGUGAAUAUUUGACAUAGUUAAAUAGAUAACACCCUGAUGCCCCAGUAAAAAAAGUGAAUUAAUGGUUAUGAGGAGACUCUAUAAAGUGGUUGCUUGCAGCAACAGUGAGUUGGCUGUGGUGCCCCAGAGAGCACCUUCCAGCUUAAUUUUAUUGUUUGCUGGUACAGAUCCAUGAGGAGGUAUUCACUGGGUUUUGGGUUGCUAUUUUGUUUAUAGAAAAUCUCGCCUACCCCUUGCUAUAUAAUGCACUCAAUGUGUUGGAACUAUGCUUGAAAGAGCAGAUCUGGGUCAUAGUGUCUCUCUCUUUUCCAUCAGACCGAAUUGUCAUGCUCCUAUUUGAACUGACUGGAUUAACAAAGUCUGUGCAGCUACCUGUGGAACAAGCAGCACUGAGUGCCCUGCCUUUGUCUCCCCUGAGACACUGUGAAGCAGUGCCACAACUCGGUGGUGGUGAUGAUGUAGCAGCCACCGACACUGCUACACUUUCCUGCUGAGACCAAGGGCCCACCACAGAAGUCAUGCUGGUGUUCACUGGGAUGCAAGAGACUGAAAACUGAUCAGGCCUUGAAUCUCUGCAGGCUGGGUAGUUCAUACAAUAUUAAUUAAAAGCUCAGAUGGGAUAGUUUGCCUGUGUAAGUCCAGUUUAAAAAGUGAAAUAGAUGGAAUGUCUGCAAACUGGCAUAUCAGACUCCUUCAGCAGUGUCCAGAGUCCCUGUCCCACCUGCAGGAUAGCUUGUUCUUACACCAUGAACUUGAUUUGUUAGCAUGUCUGCUGUCAAAAGGUCUGUUUCUUAUUUUUGUUGAGUUAUACCUUAAAUGUGUCUUUUUUUGGCUACUUACACUCUCGUUUCUGCACAGCGGCAGCCAAGCAGGGGCCCAAUUCCUGGCCCUCGGAUUUAUUCCCAUUGCUUUGAUGGGCUGAGUCUGGUGCAGCCUGUAUCACAGAGCACCUGGAUGGGCUGAUUGCAGACAUUUGCUGGCACUGCAGUCUCAGCUGUGGAAACAAUUUUGCUGGCAGUGGAAGCCCAGUUUUCUGGGGAGGGGCCCAUAUUUCUGGUUUGAAAUGUGUGAAGUCUCACCAGAGCUCUGCUAUCAGAGCUGCUGGAAAUUUUCCCCUCACUCUCUUGGUCUACCUUCUCUCGACCAUCCAGGUCUUACUUCUGCUUCUUCUCAAAAUCCCUGAUAUAUGUUUUCUGGCUUCUUUUGCUGUAAUCUCUCCCCUCAGUUUUUCUUCAUGCAUUAGUUCUUCCUUCACUGCAUUUCUCCACUGUCUCUUCCAUUUUAUCUGCCUUUUUUCUUAAUUUCUCAGGCCUCUCCUGUUUUUCUUCUCAUGUCCACAUUUUGGUCUUUUCUCCAGAAGCUCCAUGAAUGACAGCCUCAGUAAUGGAGCACAUUCCUUGAAAAGGCCUUGUCUCAGAGCUCAGAGCAGCAGUAGUGAGAUGCAGGUCCAGAUGGUAUUGCUGCUGUUGUUUAUGAACAAGGCAUGCUAGGGACCCAUGGUGUCAAGCAUUGUGCAGCUGGGCAGGAAAACACAGCUCUUGUGCCACAAGUCCUCAUGCCCGCCACAGGACUAAAGGGGUUACAGCCUCAAUCACCUGCAACUGAGGCAUAUGGAAAAUAGGGAUACAUUUACCAAACUGUUUUAGCACAUAAAGUUGUGAACACACUUUUUCUCCCCAGUCUGAUAUCCUUAUGCAUGUUAACUGUCUUAAUUAAAUUCAACCAAUUAAUUUUACUGGGGUAUAGGAAUGACAUCCAUGUAGAAAACCCAGAAAAACUUGCUCUUGGUGUCCAAGUCAAGGGCAGUCUGAGAGUUCAAAAUCAUCAAUUUCUCUCCACAGUGUCAUGGUGGGAAAGUAAAACUCACAGGAAUCAAGGGCAAGGAGAGAGAAGAGUGAGAGAAAAAACAAGAAAACUUUGUAGUCUGUGCUCACCACCUGACUCUGGCUCACGGACCUGGAAUGCCUGUUUUCCUUGAGGCAUGGCUGGAGCUGAAAAACGCAGCAAAGUCCUUGUAUUCUGUGAUAUUCCAGUACAGUGCUCAUGAAAUUCUGUGUCAGCCUCACAGAUGUAUAGAGGCAGAAGACUGUAAAGAUCUAAGCAUGAAUGUAAUGACUUAUAUUCUUCCCUUUUAUAUUGCUCAUGUUUAGACUUAAGGUUUGAUGUCAUCUCCUGGUUAGUAGGUUUUGAUGUGCCACAGGCUUUUCUAUCAAUAUAUGGUUGUAUUGUUUCCUGUGACUUGGAGGUCAAGUUGGCCAAGAGAUAAGCAAACCGGUAAAGUUUAAGAGCAGUGAAAUGGUUAUUUUGAUGAUACUUAACUUGCCAAAUACUUAAUAAGCACAGGUAUUGUACUCAGGAGUGGAACAGGGCAGUGGGAUCUCCUCUAGCUUUCCAUUCAGGAUGCCUGCAGAACCAGGAAGGUGGUGCAUCAGUUUGCAAUUGGCUUGGUAAUCUUUCAUGGGGCCUGUUUGUGUCUCUUGUGCUGAAGGCUGAAUGUAAAAUGAACAUUGUUAGCCAAGAAAGCAAAUAAAGGGAACUAUUUCCCAAGGCA